Budorcas taxicolor (takin) is the source of this 347-nucleotide long non-coding RNA. RefSeq lists it as uncharacterized. The record is from RefSeq and is a predicted model, not a curated record. The transcript has 3 exons. NCBI's taxonomy places the organism in Eukaryota, Metazoa, Chordata, Mammalia, Artiodactyla, Bovidae.
GUCUGUCCUCCACAGCCUCCAUCAUCUAGUUCCCCUUGAUGGUUGACUUCCUCUUGGAUUUGGCCAAUGGGAGGCACCAGCAGGGAUCUGAGGGUGGAUCAGUUCUGUACUCAUUUUACUUCAACCAACCCAGAACUGGGCAACCACUAUGUAGCAAGCAAUCUGUUAGACACCGAAGACACAAAGGGUCAAGUUUCAGCCUUUGGCUCAGAAGUCCUUUUUGGAGACAGACAAGCAAACAGGCCUCAAACAUUUUGUGGGACAUUACAAAACUCACGUCCUCUGUGCCCAUGGAACUUCGUGACUCAAACAACCGUGACUGAGGGGCCAGGCUCGCUGGCACUGUG